CUGUGGAAACAAACAAACAGA
This 21-nucleotide unclassified non-coding RNA is filed under the name Mus musculus (house mouse). RNAcentral describes it as "oocyte_clustered_small_RNA4149". The record is from RNAcentral. Lineage: Eukaryota; Metazoa; Chordata; Mammalia; Rodentia; Muridae.